RNAcentral lists this long non-coding RNA (379 nucleotides) under Homo sapiens (human). RNAcentral's name for it is "non-protein coding lnc-JSRP1-4:1". Lineage: Eukaryota; Metazoa; Chordata; Mammalia; Primates; Hominidae. The record is from RNAcentral.
GCACGGUGGUCAGCGUGCAGCGGGACGGGACUGGCCCUGCCCAGCCAUGAAUCGCUUGGCCAUGCCUGGAUCUGUUUUGUUUUGGUUUUUGGUUUUUGGGUCAGGGUUUCACUGUGUUGCCCAGGCUAGAGUGCAGUGGUGCCACAGCUCACUGUGACCUUGACCUUCUGGACUCAAGUGAUCCUCCUGCCUCAGCUUCCCAAGUAGCGGGGAUCACAGGCAUGAGCCGCCACACCCGGCCAUCACACCUGGAUUUUCAGUGGGAGGUUUUUGGUUUGGAGACAUCCAAAGCCUGAAGCCAGGUGCCCUGCCUGAGUUGUGUGCAUCCAGGGGCCUGGUGAGCCCCCAGGCUGGUGGCAUGGCCCCCCUGCCCCGUGCU